AUUGAACGCUGGCGGCAGGCCUAACACAUGCAAGUCGAGCGGAAGCAGGGUGCUUGCUCCUGGAUUCAGCGGCCGACGGGUGAGUAAUGCCUAGGAAUCUGCCUGGUAGUGGGGGAUAACGUGCGGAAACGGGCGCUAAUACCGCAUAAGUCCUUAGGGAGAAAGUGGGGGAUCUUCGGACCUCACGCUAUCAGAUGAGCCUAGGUCGGAUUAGCUAGUUGGUGGGGUAAAGGCCUACCAAGGCGACGAUCCGUAACUGGUCUGAGAGGAUGAUCAGUCACACUGGAACUGAGACACGGUCCAGACUCCUACGGGAGGCAGCAGUGGGGAAUAUUGGACAAUGGGCGAAAGCCUGAUCCAGCCAUGCCGCGUGGGUGAAGAAGGUCUUCGGAUUGUAAAGCACUUUUGGUUGGGAAGAAGAGCAGUAAGUUAAUACCUCGCUGUUUUGACGGUACCAACAGAAUAAGCACCGGCUAACUUCGUG
This 484-nucleotide ribosomal RNA is filed under the name uncultured bacterium. RNAcentral describes it as "partial 16S ribosomal RNA". It matches the Rfam family "Bacterial small subunit ribosomal RNA", at positions 30 to 507 of the family's 1533-position model. The record is from RNAcentral.